UGCGCGGUGUGUAUAAAUUUAUUUAGUUGGUACGUGAAAUUCCUCGAGUUCGGACGGCAGGAAGAGCGGCCGUACAUUUAACGUAAUUAUAAUCCGCGGCGUGGCCGGCAGUUUGUGGUCGAGAAGAUCGAACGUUUCCACACGUAUUAUCGAUAUACCCGCGACUUGUAACGCGGCAUCCGCCCCAGGAUAAUAUCAAUUCUUGAUACUUGAAACGGAAACGGGUUAACGGGUGCCGAUCGAGUUACCACGAGGCGGAUUAAAUCGGAUUCCAACGCCCGAAUCGUGAUUCGGAAUCGUCUCGAUUCCGUUUGUUCCGGGCUUGUUUACGUUAUACUCGUUGGAACACGUUGAUGGAAUUACGCAUUGACCGAUUGGGAGGAGGAAGAGGAGGUGGAGGAGGAGGAGGAUGGAACGCAUCGUGCGAGAGUCUGCCUCAUUUCGCUUGGAUUCUCUUGGAUUUUGGAGGAUUUUGGAAUAAUUUUUGCAACGAGAUCGUUUCCAAUAUAUAGAGGUUUGGAAAACAUCGGCCGACCCGUAAUAAUCGGAUAUAAUCAGGGAUGGAGACGAAAGGGGAUUGGCGGAAACUUUUCAUCCCUGGAGGAACGAGACGGUAACGAUUGAAGAUUGAAAGGGAACUUGGGCGGAACUUUAAAGCUGUCUCGCGAGACUUGCUUGGAAUUAUUCGGGAGUUUCGAUAUCCUUUUCGAGGAUAUUGGCAAUAAAUUUGGCGAACGGCAAUUAGAAAAAAUUUUGCAAGGAACGCGAGAGGCAAGGAGGGGCCGUGAGUCACGAAUAUACGCGAAAUCAAUUGCGUGUGCAUCCGGCGUUCGAGGACGACUGUCGAGAGGCCUUUAAAACCAUCCAUGCCUUUCCUCACUCUCUCUCUCUUCCGUGUGUGCUCGUUAUUCUCGAUCACGCAUAACUCGGCCCGCGUUGACCCGAGUGUCGCUUCGACGGUAUGUUUUUCAAAAUUGAGGGAUAAUGGAGAUAAUGGAGAAGAGAGGAUCCAAAGCAUCGACAACUCGUUCAACGACUGGAGGAGAUCGGUGGAAUUUAUUUUCAUAUUAUCUGCUCGGUGAUGGUUGAACGAGAUGGUCCCUGGAACGUCCACGCUUUAUCAUAUCAAACGUGCCAGUAUUUAUGCGCGCAUCAAAGGGAUCUAAUCAGAGGCGAAGAAAGAAGGAGAUCAAAGACCACCCAUCGACUCGUGCUUCGGCGUUGGCGAAUCCAUUUUUAUCAGCGUGCGGUGAUUUAAAGGAAAUGAAAAAUGGGAAAAAAGGAGAAGAGAAAACCUGCCAUCCUUUAAUGGGAAACGUGUCAUUUCAUACAGGGAUGCGAUAAAGGGGAAACAAUGUGGAUUUGCGCAACUUUCUCAAUAACACGUAUUCCCGAGUUAUUUCAGUCCGAGUUCGACGAGUUGCUAUUUUUAAACAUAUUAAUCGGAGAUUAAACGCGAGUUUCAACGCAAAUCGAAAUUAUAUAUUUCAAAAGAUAUUUCAAAUUCAUAAUUUAGAAAGACUGUCCAAACAAAAAUUUUAAAAAAAUCUUUUCAUUUUCCCAACCCUCUCGCGAAUGAAUUGCAACAAUUUGCAAGUUAA
This is a long non-coding RNA of Apis cerana (Asiatic honeybee), 1601 nucleotides long. RefSeq lists it as uncharacterized. Lineage: Eukaryota; Metazoa; Arthropoda; Insecta; Hymenoptera; Apidae. The record is from RefSeq and is a predicted model, not a curated record.